UGGAGAAACUAUUUUACCAAGACUUUGACUGGAAUGGCCUGCUUUUCUUUAAGGAAUCUAAUUUAUCUAUGGAGCCAAUAAAAGCCCCUUGAGAAAACUGGCCUCUCUUACCUUCUCUACACAGUCACUGUACAGCUCUUGUGGCCAUCAAUAUCCAGAUGAUCCUCAGUGAGGGAUACCCUCCUGUCAAUAUUCAAGAGUCAUUCUUCUACAGAAGACCCUACACUGUCCAUAAGUGAGAAAUGACAGGGGCAAAACACUGCUGCUGUGUCCUUUGGACCUAACUGGAUAACACUUUCACUAACCCAUGGAGUUACUUUCAUGCCCUGAUAGCUAACAAGAGGCCAAGACUCACAGAACAACCACCACCACACCUGUCUGCAGUAAGCAAUUACCGAAGACAGAUCUUCGUCCAUUUGUCCUAAAGAAUUGGGGUCUUUGCGCCUUGAUGGGUGGAAUACUAUGGUAGGUAGCUAGUCAGACAUAAGCAGGGCAGAAGAGGGCCCCCUUCCCCAACCAGGAAUGUCAGGCAACCAUCACAUGAUGGUCAGGCAUUGUUAAACUGCCUCUGUAAAAUAAUUGUUCACAGCCCAUGCCAGAGAAAGGCAGUCUCUCAAUAAAAGGAAACACCUGAAACUGGGGACCAGCAGCUUCCCGAUAAGAUCUCAGGAGUUGGGUGAUUGGGCUUAAGGGUGUGCAUGAAGAAGCAAAACGGAAGAGUUUAACCGGCAUAUGACUUCCUUAGGACAUUUGACUGGUAAUGGAAGAACACCUCAAGUGAGCAUGUGUACAACUACAGUAAACACACUGCUCAUGCUUCCCUGCCAAACACCUGCAGGCCACUGCACAAGUAGAAAGCACACCCCAAGGGAAUUAUCAGGGGUGAAAGGAGAAAAGACCCCAAAAGUAUGCCAAUAUUUAAAGCCUUAAGUCAAAGGUCAAACCAUGCACUUGAUCUUUCAAGUCACCUACUUGGUACCUCUUCCAAAUGUACUUUACUUCCUUUCAAUCCUGCCCUAAAACUCUUUAAUAAAUUUAUCUCAUGCUCUAAAACAUACCUUGAUCUCUGCUUCUGCCUUAUGCCCCUCAGUUCUUUGUUCUAAACAGCCCUUUUUUUCUAAGGAGGCAAGAAUUGAGGUUGCUGCAGACGCCUACAUAUUUGUCGCCAGCAACAUACUUUGGUGCUGUGUGACUCAGAUAAAUUCCACUACUAACAUUUAUAGCAAAUUGUUCCAAUUUCUACUCCUGGACA
This 1252-nucleotide long non-coding RNA is filed under the name Homo sapiens (human). Its description in RNAcentral is "HSALNT0019496". The record is from RNAcentral. Lineage: Eukaryota; Metazoa; Chordata; Mammalia; Primates; Hominidae.